UCCUACGGGAGGCAGCAGUGGGGAAUUUUCCGCAAUGGGCGAAAGCCUGACGGAGCAAUACCGCGUGAGGGAAGACGGCCUAUGGGUUGUAAACCUCUUUUUUCAGGGAGGAAUUUUGACGUGUACCUGAAGAAUAAGCAUCGGCUAACUCCGUGCCAGCAGCCGCGGUAAGACGGAGGAUGCAAGUGUUAUCCGGAAUCACUGGGCGUAAAGCGUCUGUAGGUGGUUUAAUAAGUCAACUGUUAAAUCUUGAGGCUCAACUUCAAAAUCGCAGUCGAAACUGUUUGACUAGAGUAUAGUAGGGGUAAAGGGAAUUUCCAGUGGAGCGGUGAAAUGCGUAGAUAUUGGAAAGAACACCGAUGGCGAAGGCACUUUACUGGGCUAUUACUGACACUCAGAGACGAAAGCUAGGGUAGCAAAUGGGAUUAGAUACCCCAGUAGUCCUAGCCGUAAACAAUGGAUACUAGAUGUUGAACAGAUCGACCUGUGCAGUAUCAAAGCUAACGCGUUAAGUAUCCCGCCUGGGAAGUAUGCUCGCAAGAGUGAAACUCA
Molecule: ribosomal RNA, 552 nt
Filed under: uncultured bacterium
Lineage: Bacteria
Description: bacterial SSU rRNA
Rfam family: Bacterial small subunit ribosomal RNA
Source: RNAcentral